Molecule: transfer RNA, 73 nt
Filed under: Bos taurus (domestic cattle)
Lineage: Eukaryota; Metazoa; Chordata; Mammalia; Artiodactyla; Bovidae
Also listed under: 1 other name
Rfam family: tRNA
About the family: Transfer RNA (tRNA) molecules are approximately 80 nucleotides in length. Their secondary structure includes four short double-helical elements and three loops (D, anti-codon, and T loops). Further hydrogen bonds mediate the characteristic L-shaped molecular structure. tRNAs have two regions of fundamental functional importance: the anti-codon, which is responsible for specific mRNA codon recognition, and the 3' end, to which the tRNAs corresponding amino acid is attached (by aminoacyl-tRNA synthetases). tRNAs cope with the degeneracy of the genetic code in two manners: having more than one tRNA (with a specific anti-codon) for a particular amino acid; and 'wobble' base-pairing, i.e. permitting non-standard base-pairing at the 3rd anti-codon position.
Source: Rfam by way of RNAcentral
UCCCUGGUGGUCCAGUAUCUAAGACUCUGUGCUCCCAAUGCAGGGGGCCCAGGUUCAAUCCCUAGUCAGAGAA